Molecule: unclassified non-coding RNA, 397 nt
Filed under: uncultured Diversispora
Lineage: Eukaryota; Fungi; Glomeromycota; Glomeromycetes; Diversisporales; Diversisporaceae
Description: SSU rRNA
Rfam family: Eukaryotic small subunit ribosomal RNA
Source: RNAcentral
AGCAGCCGCGGUAAUUCCAGCUCCAAUAGCGUAUAUUAAAGUUGUUGCAGUUAAAAGCUCGUAGUUGAAUUUCGGGGUUAGUAGGUCGGUCGUGCCACAGGUAUGUACUGGUCUCACUGAUUCCUCCUUCCUGAUGAACCGUAAUGCCAUUAAUUUGGUGUUGCGGGGAAACUGGACUGUUACUUUGAAAAAUUAGAGUGUUUAAAGCAGGCUAACGCUUGAAUACAUUAGCAUGGAAUAAUGAAAUAGGACGUUCGAUCCUAUUUUGUUGGUUUCUAGGAUUGACGUAAUGAUUAAUAGGGAUAGUUGGGGGCAUUAGUAUUCAAUUGUCAGAGGUGAAAUUCUUGGAUUUAUUGAAGACUAACUACUGCGAAAGCAUUUGCCAAGGAUGUUUUCA